This 253-nucleotide ribosomal RNA is filed under the name uncultured bacterium. RNAcentral describes it as "partial 16S ribosomal RNA". It matches the Rfam family "Bacterial small subunit ribosomal RNA", at positions 524 to 776 of the family's 1533-position model. The record is from RNAcentral.
UACGUAGGUGACAAGCGUUGUCCGGAUUUACUGGGCGUAAAGAGCGCGCAGGCGGUCGUUCAAGUCGAGUGUGAAAGCCCCCGGCUCAACUGGGGAGGGUCACUCGAUACUGAUCGACUCGAAGGCAGGAGAGGGUAGUGGAAUUCCCGGUGUAGUGGUGAAAUGCGCAGAUAUCAGGAGGAACACCGAUGGCGAAGGCAGGUCUCUGGGCCACUACUGACGCUGAGAAGCGAAAGCAUGGGGAGCGAACAGG